AAUAACAUUCCCUAACCCUAACCCUAAUCUCACCACCCCACUAUAUAUAUCUCACCUUCUCUUUGCUUUCUCCUAUGCUCUCUUCUCUAAAGCUCAACCUAAAGUCUCUAUCUUCAACUUGGUCAGCUCCUCCUCUUAAACCAUGCAACCUAUUUAUCUUUCACCACCUUCCACUCACCAACUGAGAAUGGUAGGGGAAAACAGCAAAGAAGAAGGUGAAAAGGAUGAGAUUAAAGGGAAUGUUUAUGGGAGAUCAAAGUAGAGAAAUGAUGGUGCUAUCCUAACUGAGCUUUAUGAUCUUUACCCUUCCAUCAUCCUUUCUAUCUUCUUUCCCACAAGAAAAGGUCUUCUUGACCUUGUAAGACCUUUUCUUGACCUUGUAAGACCCCACCUUUCACUCAUCAUCUUCAUUCACAAUCUCUUGCCUUCUCCUCCUCCAUCCCUGUCUAUCCCUCUUGAGCUUUAAUUCUAUUAUAAUUAUUAUUAUUUUGUUAUUAAAAAUUUUAUAUAUUAUUAUUUUUAAUGUGGUGAUGUUUGAGUGGACUGUAAAAAAGGAAAGGAAAGGAAAGAAAAGAAAUUAUUCUCUUUUGGUGGUCAUUCAUAGAUGUACUACUACUGCAACGUAUAAAUGUCUGCAUUAUUUGUGAAGUA
Long non-coding RNA from Dioscorea cayenensis subsp. rotundata (Guinea yam), 651 nucleotides. RefSeq lists it as uncharacterized. The transcript has 3 exons. The record is from RefSeq and is a predicted model, not a curated record. Lineage: Eukaryota; Viridiplantae; Streptophyta; Magnoliopsida; Dioscoreales; Dioscoreaceae.